CCCCUUGAUGAGGAAGAUUUAGUCGCUUAUGUUCUGAAUGGGCUAGAUGAUGAUUUUGAACCUGUUGUAUCUGCUAUUGUGGCACGCAAUGAGUCGACCACAAUGGCGGAAGUAUACUCUCAGCUUCUUAAUUUUGAGA
This is a non-coding RNA of Oryza punctata, 139 nucleotides long. The record is from Rfam. NCBI's taxonomy places the organism in Eukaryota, Viridiplantae, Streptophyta, Magnoliopsida, Poales, Poaceae.